AUUGAACGCUGGCGGCAGGCCUAACACAUGCAAGUCGAGCGGAUGAAGGGAGCUUGCUCCUGGAUUCAGCGGCGGACGGGUGAGUAAUGCCUAGGAAUCUGCCUGGUAGUGGGGGAUAACGUCCGGAAACGGGCGCUAAUACCGCAUACGUCCUGAGGGAGAAAGUGGGGGAUCUUCGGACCUCACGCUAUCAGAUGGGCCUAGGUCGGAUUAGCUAGUUGGUGGGGUAAGGGCCUACCAAGGCGACGAUCCGUAACUGGUCUGAGAGGAUGAUCAGUCACACUGGAACUGAGACACGGUCCAGACUCCUACGGGAGGCAGCAGUGGGGAAUAUUGGACAAUGGGCGAAAGCCUGAUCCAGCCAUGCCGCGUGUGUGAAGAAGGUCUUCGGAUUGUAAAGCACUUUAAGUUGGGAGGAAGGGCAGUAAGUUAAUACCUUGCUGUUUUGACGUUACCAACAGAAUAAGCACCGGCUAACUUCGUG
Molecule: ribosomal RNA, 484 nt
Filed under: uncultured bacterium
Lineage: Bacteria
Description: partial 16S ribosomal RNA
Rfam family: Bacterial small subunit ribosomal RNA
Source: RNAcentral